This 427-nucleotide ribosomal RNA is filed under the name uncultured bacterium. RNAcentral's name for it is "bacterial SSU rRNA". It matches the Rfam family "Bacterial small subunit ribosomal RNA", at positions 355 to 773 of the family's 1533-position model. The record is from RNAcentral.
UGGGGAAUUGUUCACAAUGGGCGCAAGCCUGAUGACGCAACGCCGCGUGGGGGAUGAAGGUCUUCGGAUUGUAAACCCCUGUCGAAUGGGACGAAUGGCCUCUGGGCUAAUCACCAGAGGAAUGACGGUACCUCCAGAAGAAGACCCGGCCAACUACGUGCCAGCAGCCGCGGUAACACGUAGGGGGCGAGCGUUGUCCGGAUUUAUUGGGCGUAAAGAGCUCGUAGGCGGUUUGGCAAGUCGGGUGUGAAAUUUCGAGGCUCAACCUCGAAACGCCACUCGAUACUGCCAUGACUGGAGUCCGGUAGAGGAGUGCGGAAUUCCUGGUGUAGCGGUGAAAUGCGCAGAUAUCAGGAGGAACACCAACGGCGAAGGCAGCACUCUGGGCCGGUACUGACGCUGAGGAGCGAAAGCGUGGGGAGCAAAC